RNAcentral lists this ribosomal RNA (387 nucleotides) under uncultured bacterium. Its description in RNAcentral is "bacterial SSU rRNA". It matches the Rfam family "Bacterial small subunit ribosomal RNA", at positions 29 to 408 of the family's 1533-position model. The record is from RNAcentral.
AACGAACGCUGGCGGCGCGCCUAAUACAUGCAAGUCGAGCGAGAAGACGUAGCAAUACGUUUGUAAAGCGGCGAACGGGUGAGGAAUACAUGGGUAACCUACCCUCGAGUGGGGAAUAACUAGCCGAAAGGUUAGCUAAUACCGCGUACGCUCCUUGGACUUCGGUUCAGGGAGGAAAGCGAUACCGUGGGUAUCGCGCUCUUGGAUGGGCUCAUGUCCUAUCAGCUUGNGGUGAGGUAACGGCUCACCAAGGCUUCGACGGGUAGCUGGUCUGAGAGGACGAUCAGCCACACUGGCACUGCGACACGGGCCAGACUCCUACGGGAGGCAGCAGUAAGGAUAUUGCGCAAUGGGCGAAAGCCUGACGCAGCGACGCCGCGUGGGGGA